CCUACGGGCGGCAGCAGUAGGGAAUCUUCCACAAUGGGCGAAAGCCUGAUGGAGCAACGCCGCGUGGGUGAAGAAGGUCUUCGGAUCGUAAAACCCUGUUGUUAGAGAAGAAAGUGCGUGAGAGUAACUGUUCACGUUUCGACGGUAUCUAACCAGACAGCCACGGCUAACUACGUGCCAGCAGCCGCGGUAAUACGUAGGUGGCAAGCGUUAUCCGGAUUUAUUGGGCGUAAAGGGAACGCAGGCGGUCUUUUAAGUCUGAUGUGAAAGCCUUCGGCUUAACCGGAGUAGUGCAUUGGAAACUGGGAGACUGGAGUGCAGAAGAGGAGAGUGGAACUCCAUGUGUAGCGGUGAAAUGCGUAGAUAUAUGGAAGAACACCAGUGGCGAAAGCGGCUCUCUGGUCUGUAACUGACGCUGAGGUUCGAAAGCGUGGGUAGCAAACAGGAUUAGAUACCCCAGUAGUC
Molecule: ribosomal RNA, 465 nt
Filed under: uncultured bacterium
Lineage: Bacteria
Description: partial 16S ribosomal RNA
Rfam family: Bacterial small subunit ribosomal RNA
Source: RNAcentral